CUCUCCUCUUUUUUCUAUCUCGUGGCCACGAGUUAGCUAUGUCGUGGCCAGUAGAUAGAAAAAAGAGGAGUGCAAAACUAAAUAAAAGCGGCGUACAAUUAAAUAAAGAGCGGUGCAGAAAAAAAGGCAGAGUGCAUUAAAUAAAAGAGGAGAGCAUUUUCGUCAUCUCGAGAUCCCGACAUAGCUAACUCGUGGCCACGAGUUAGUCAGCCAAUCGAAUUGUGCGUAACAUGUGUAAAUAUUCUGUACGCUGGUUCCCAGCUUCCACUGUAAACAAAUAGAAGCCUGGCAUUGGCGGAAUCAUGGUCGACGCGAUGAUAAUGGUGAGUUAACCAAAUAUUUACAAAUGUGGCUCGUCGGGGUAUCAUUCAUUUUUCAAUCGAAAUGCAUAUAUUUCAUUCAGUAAACGUUCUUCUUUUUUUUUCGAGUUCUUCCGCAUAUUAGAGUUAAUUAAUGUUCCAUAACCUGAGUAUGUUUCGGACAAGUACACAGAUAGUUUAAUUUCGCAUGUUAUAGUAAAUUUGUAACAUACUGUAUUUGUGAUGUAUUUUUGAGUAGUGUGACAAAUAUGAAAGCAUUGCGGUGUGGUUAUCUUUGAUUAACAGUAGGAAUGCAUUUUUAUGUAUUCAUGCCUUUUUCCAGGUUCACCACAGUCAGAAUUUCAGACCUGCUUUUCCCUGAUUAGCAAAAUGCUUCUAAAUAUCUUUUCUAAACUCCAUUAAAAAUGGUUCGUGGGUAUCAAGAAAAAGUUAUUCAUAAUUCAUAAUUCAAAUCAUUAAUCAUAUUUCAGAUGGAUCAUACUUGGUUCCAAGUAAUUGAGUGUAAGUCUGGCCCAGAUAACACAUACAGUGCCUGUGCCCAAAAAACUCAAGUACCCCGCAUAAACGAGGAAGCAAGAGGGCAAUAUCAACUCCCACAAGAAAAACACCUAAACAUGAACAUAAAAGGAUUAAACUGGAUGAAAAAAACAGACACAACAAAUGGUCCAUCGAAGAGAAAUCUUUUCUGAAAGAAUACAGUCAGAAAUUACGAAAAGAUGGCGAGUCAGAAAACAGUUUCUGGAACAACUGUGCAAUUGCCAUGAACAACAUGUUUGGUGGAAAAAAACAGAACAGGUUCCAGCUCUCCAAGAGAAGUUGCAAGGCAUAUAUUGUCUUCUUCAUUGAGAUGAAGUAUAGUUGUAAAACUUUUAAAUGAAAUUGAAUAUGCAGCAAAAGAAUGCUACAACAAGGACAGUGUUUUAGCCCAAAAGGAUUUCUGUGACCUGGCUGAAUUUAAAUGGCAUGAACUCAUUGAUGAACUAUUAGAGCAGCAGCCACUGCUAGCUGAUGUUCUCUUGGCUGUGUCUCUACCAACCUCCAAGAUAGGGAAUACAAAAUCUGUUCAGAGACUAAUACUGGUCAUAUCUGCUGUGUUUGGAAUGUUGAUUAAUACAGGAUACCAGGAGUUGUCGUUACAACUUGUUAGUUCAAAAGAUAAUCGCAAUGACUUUAGCUUCGCACUCGUGAUUUAAUUCCUACGCAUCUAUACUCCUUACUAUGGGUUAUUCGACAACAAACCAUGAUAGAAAAAUAUUAUUUCUUAAUCAUUUUAUGAGUAACUCAAGAGAAAAUUUCAUUAAAGAGUUGCCAAACUCAGCUGUGAAUGAAUGUUUGUUUUAUAAAAUAUUCAAUGUAUGUAUUUUAAAUAUAUCUUUAUAUGUUUUAAAUAUUUCACAAUAUCUAAAUACAAAUACAGUGAAAAACAUACCAGGUAUUAAAAAAAAUCUUUCUUAACCAGAAAUUAGCAAUAUACAUGUAUAGUUUUUUGCAAUUUGAUAAAAAAAACGGUAUUAAACAUUAAAUUGUGUACUAUUUUCUUAACCUCAAGUUUGUGAAAUUGGGCAUUUGAAUGUUUAUGUUACUGUUCAUGACACAUGUUUUGUUUGGAAAUUAAAUAAAUCUUUUGGAACAUCUAUUUAAUAGCGCUGACCCAGGCUCUUAAGGUCUUUGAUGUUUUAGCUCACCUGAGCUCAGAUGAGCUCAUAGGAUCGAUGAAUGUCUGUUGUCCGUCCUUCUUUUAACUCCCUUUUGGUUUUUUUUUCUGCUCAUAGAUCGAGAAACUUGGUCAUGAUGAUUGUUUGGAGAAAUUGUAGGUCAAGUUCAAAGACGGGUCAUCAGGGGUCAAAAACUAGGUCACUAUGCCAUUGACAAAUAUUGGCUACCUGUACUAAGGUGAGCGAUAUAGGGCCAUUAUGGCCCUUUUGUUUUAAUUCUACCCUUAACACAAUCAGGAAUAAGUUUACAAA
Molecule: long non-coding RNA, 2287 nt
Organism: Dreissena polymorpha
Lineage: Eukaryota; Metazoa; Mollusca; Bivalvia; Myida; Dreissenidae
Exons: 3
Source: RefSeq, a predicted model, not a curated record